This 553-nucleotide ribosomal RNA is filed under the name uncultured bacterium. RNAcentral describes it as "bacterial SSU rRNA". It matches the Rfam family "Archaeal small subunit ribosomal RNA", at positions 725 to 1275 of the family's 1478-position model. The record is from RNAcentral.
AGUGAAUAGAUACCCUGGUAGUCCUAGCCGUAAACGAUACUCGCUAGGUGUCGGCCACGGUGCGACCGUUGUCGGUGCCGUAGGGAAAGCCGUGAAGCGAGCCACCUGGGAAGUACGGCCGCAAGGCUGAAACUUAAAGGGAAUUGGCGGGGGAGCACCACAACGGGUGGAGCUUGCGGUUUAAAUUGGAUUCAACGCCGGAAAUCUUACCGGGACCGACAGCAACAUGAAGGCCAGGCUGAAGACCUUGCCGGAUUAGCUGAGAGGUGGUGCAUGGCCGUCGUCAGUUCGUACUGUGAAGCAUCCUGUUAAGUCAGGCAACGAGCGAGACCCACGCCCACAGUUGCCAGCGUACUCUCCGGAGUGACGGGUACACUGUGGGGACCGCCGCUGCUAAAGCGGAGAAGGAAUGGGCAACGGUAGGUCAGUAUGCCCCGAAUAUCCCGGGGCUACACGCGAGCUACAAUGGUUGGUACAAUGGGUAUCUACCCCGAAAGGGGAUGAAAUCUCCUAAAGCCAAUCUAGUUCGGAUUGAGGGCUGCAACUCGCCCUC